AUAUUCAAAUGAGAACUUUGAAGACUGAAGUGGAGAAGGGUUCCAUGUGAACAGCAGUUGGACAUGGGUUAGUCGAUCCUAAGAGACAAGGAUGUUCCGCACACGCAGGCUUUGCCUCGUCUCUCGAAAGGGAAUGGGGUUAAUAUUCCCCAACCAGGACGUGGAUACUGUAUGGCAACGUAAGAGAAUUCGGUGACGCAGGGGGGAGCCUUGGGAAGCGUUGUCUUUUCUUUUUAACCGUCUCUUACCCUGGAAUCAGAUUGCCUGGAGAUAGGGUUAAUUGGCGGGUAAAGCACCUUGUCUUCCGAGGUGUCCGGUGCGCUCCCCACUGUCCUUGAAAAGCCGAAGGAAAGACUUAUUCACACCCCUGGUCGUACCCAUAACCGCAUCAGGUCUCCAAGGUUAGCAGCCUCUGGUCUAUAGAACAAAGUAGGUAAGGGAAGUCGGCAAAAUAGAU
This 457-nucleotide ribosomal RNA is filed under the name Amphora coffeiformis. Its description in RNAcentral is "partial Eukaryotic large subunit ribosomal RNA". It matches the Rfam family "Eukaryotic large subunit ribosomal RNA", at positions 1467 to 1927 of the family's 3401-position model. The record is from RNAcentral. Lineage: Eukaryota; Bacillariophyta; Bacillariophyceae; Surirellales; Surirellaceae.